CAGUUUCACCCUCAAACACAUCUCACUUUCAUCGUUAUCGAUGAUACCGAUGCACAGAGGAUAUAUCCCAAUACCUGACACACUUUUCUUAAUCUCUACAUAGAGCUUGAUUCCCUUAUCAUCACAGAUCAACAAGGGAAAUGAAUUUCCUUUAACAAUAUAUCAGACUUCAAUUUGUUUUCUUGUUUCAUCGAUUUCGACUUCUGCAGCAAUUGUAGAAAUUAACUUUUCAUACGUUUCAUUCUCUCUGACUACAGCACAAUCAAUCUUGUAUCAUUCGUACUUGACAUCAACAAUCAAACACUGAAAUAUCAUAAUAACAUAGACAUAUUCAUUGAAAAUCAUUGGAAAAAAUCACAGAAAAAAGCAGAGAAAAGAAGAAAAUAUAUAUGUUCA
RNAcentral lists this long non-coding RNA (396 nucleotides) under Capsicum annuum. Its description in RNAcentral is "long non-coding RNA (CANN_LNC013578)". The record is from RNAcentral. Lineage: Eukaryota; Viridiplantae; Streptophyta; Magnoliopsida; Solanales; Solanaceae.